This 328-nucleotide ribosomal RNA is filed under the name uncultured eukaryote. RNAcentral describes it as "partial 18S ribosomal RNA". It matches the Rfam family "Eukaryotic small subunit ribosomal RNA", at positions 1470 to 1796 of the family's 1831-position model. The record is from RNAcentral.
CCCUUAGAUGUCCUGGGCCGCACGCGCGUUACACUGAUGCAUUCAACGAGCUUAUAACCUUGGCCGAGAGGCCUGGGCAAUCUUGUUAACGUGCAUCGUGAUAGGGAUAGAUUAUUGAAAUUAUUAAUCUUGAACGAGGAAUUCCUAGUAAACGCAGAUCAUCAAUCUGCAUUGAUUCCGUCCCUGCCCUUUGUACACACCGCCCGUCGCACCUACCGAUUGGAUGGUCCGGUGAAGCCUCGGGAUUGUGGUUCUUGCCGCUUUAUUGUGGCGUGACCGCGAGAACUUGUCUAAACCUUAUCAUCUAGAGGAAGGUGAAGUCGUAACA